This 429-nucleotide ribosomal RNA is filed under the name Chloroflexota bacterium. RNAcentral describes it as "Chloroflexi bacterium partial 16S ribosomal RNA". It matches the Rfam family "Bacterial small subunit ribosomal RNA", at positions 355 to 776 of the family's 1533-position model. Lineage: Bacteria; Bacillati; Chloroflexota. The record is from RNAcentral.
UGGGGAAUAUUGCAUAAUGGGCGCAAGCCUGAUGCAGCCAUGCCGCGUGUAUGAAGAAGGCCUUCGGGUUGUAAAGUACUUUCAGACGGGAGGAAGGUGGUAAGGUUAAUAACCUUAUCAAUUGACGUUACCGACAGAAGAAGCACCGGCUAACUCCGUGCCAGCAGCCGCGGUAAUACGGAGGGUGCAAGCGUUAAUCGGAAUUACUGGGCGUAAAGCGCACGCAGGCGGUUGAUUGAGUCAGAUGUGAAAUCCCCGGGCUUAACCUGGGAACUGCAUCUGAUACUGGCAAGCUUGAGUCUCGUAGAGUGGGGUAGAAUUCCAGGUGGAGCGGUGAAAUGCGUAGAGAUCUGGAGGAAUACCGGUGGCGAAGGCGGCCCCCUGGACGAAGACUGACGCUCAGGUGCGAAAGCGUGGGGAGCAAACAGG